RNAcentral lists this ribosomal RNA (253 nucleotides) under uncultured bacterium. RNAcentral describes it as "partial 16S ribosomal RNA". It matches the Rfam family "Bacterial small subunit ribosomal RNA", at positions 524 to 776 of the family's 1533-position model. The record is from RNAcentral.
UACGAGGGGUGCAAGCGUUGCUCGGAAUUAUUGGGCGUAAAGGGGAGGUAGGUGGUCUCAUUUGUCUGGGGUGAAAGCCUUGAGCUUAACUCAAGAAGUGCCCCAGAAACGGUGAGACUGGAGUCUUGGAGAGGGUCGUGGAAUUCCCGGUGUAGCGGUGAAAUGUGUAGAGAUCGGGAGGAACACCAGAGGCGAAGGCGGCGACCUGGACAAGUACUGACACUCAACUCCGAAAGCGUGGGGAGCAAACAGG